AGUCGAGCGAACCACUUCGGUGGGAAGCGGUGAACGGGUGAGUAACACGUAGGUGAUCUGCUCAUCAGACGGGGACAACGAUUGGAAACGAUCGCUAAUACCGGAUAGGACGAAAGUUUAAAGAUGCUUCUGGCAUCACUGAUGGAUGAGCCUGCGGCGCAUUAGCUAGUUGGUGGGGUAAAGGCCUACCAAGGCGACGAUGCGUAGCCGACCUGAGAGGGUGAACGGCCACACUGGGACUGAGACACGGCCCAGACUCCUACGGGAGGCAGCAGUAGGGAAUCUUCGGCAAUGGGCGAAAGCCUGACCGAGCAACGCCGCGUGAAUGAAGAAGGCCUUCGGGUUGUAAAAUUCUGUUAUAAGGGAAGAAAGGUGAUAGGAGGAAAUGACUAUCAAUUGACGGUACCUUAUGAGAAAGCCACGGCUAACUACGUGCCAGCAGCCGCGGUAAUACGUAGGUGGCAAGCGUUAUCCGGAAUUAUUGGGCGUAAAGAGCGCGCAGGUGGUUAAUUAAGUCUGAUGUGAAAGCCCACGGCUUAACCGUGGAGGGUCAUUGGAAACUGGUUGACUUGAGUGCAGAAGAGGGAAGUGGAAUUCCAUGUGUAGCGGUGAAAUGCGUAGAGAUAUGGAGGAACACCAGUGGCGAAGGCGGCUUCCUGGUCUGCAACUGACACUGAGGCGCGAAAGCGUGGGGAGCAAACAGGAUUAGAUACCCUGGUAGUCCACGCCGUAAACGAUGAGUGCUAAGUGUUGGGGGUCGAACCUCAGUGCUGAAAUUAACGCAUUAAGCACUCCGCCUGGGGAG
This 805-nucleotide ribosomal RNA is filed under the name uncultured bacterium. Its description in RNAcentral is "bacterial SSU rRNA". It matches the Rfam family "Bacterial small subunit ribosomal RNA", at positions 60 to 880 of the family's 1533-position model. The record is from RNAcentral.